Molecule: ribosomal RNA, 474 nt
Filed under: uncultured bacterium
Lineage: Bacteria
Description: bacterial SSU rRNA
Rfam family: Bacterial small subunit ribosomal RNA
Source: RNAcentral
AUUGAACGCUGGCGGCAUGCCUUACACAUGCAAGUCGAACGGUAACAGGUCUUCGGAUGCUGACGAGUGGCGAACGGGUGAGUAAUACAUCGGAACGUGCCCGAUCGUGGGGGAUAACGCAGCGAAAGCUGUGCUAAUACCGCAUACGAUCUACGGAUGAAAGCGGGGGAUCGCAAGACCUCGCGCGGACGGAGCGGCCGAUGGCAGAUUAGGUAGUUGGUGGGAUAAAAGCUUACCAAGCCGACGAUCUGUAGCUGGUCUGAGAGGACGACCAGCCACACUGGGACUGAGACACGGCCCAGACUCCUACGGGAGGCAGCAGUGGGGAAUUUUGGACAAUGGGCGAAAGCCUGAUCCAGCCAUGCCGCGUGCAGGAUGAAGGCCUCGGUGUAACUGCUUGUAUGGAGCAAUAAGGUUAACGUCGUAGACCGAUGAGAGUACCAUAUGAAUAAGACAUCGGCUAACUACCGUGCC